GAUGAACGCUGGCGGCGUGCCUAAUACAUGCAAGUCGAGCGAACGGACGAGAAGCUUGCUUUUCUGAUGUUAGCGGCGGACGGGUGAGUAACACGUGGAUAACCUACCUAUAAGGCUGGGAUAACUUCGGGAAACCGGAGCUAAUACCGGAUAAUAUUUUGAACCGCAUGGUUCAAAAGUGAAAGACGGUCUUGCUGUCACUUAUAGAUGGAUCCGCGCUGCAUUAGCUAGUAGGUAAGGUAACGGCUUACCAAGGCAACGAUGCAUAGCCGACCUGAGAGGGUGAUCGGCCACACUGGAACUGAGACACGGUCCAGACUCUACGGGAGGCAGCAGUAGGGAAUCUUCCGCAAUGGGCGAAAGCCUGACGGAGCAACGCCGCGUGAGUGAUGAAGGUCUUCGGAUCGUAAAACUCUGUUAUUAGGGAAGAACAUAUGUGUAAGUAACUGUGCACAUCUUGACGGUACCUAAUCAGAAAGCCACGGCUAACUACGUG
This 496-nucleotide ribosomal RNA is filed under the name uncultured bacterium. Its description in RNAcentral is "partial 16S ribosomal RNA". It matches the Rfam family "Bacterial small subunit ribosomal RNA", at positions 28 to 507 of the family's 1533-position model. The record is from RNAcentral.